RNAcentral lists this ribosomal RNA (449 nucleotides) under uncultured bacterium. RNAcentral describes it as "bacterial SSU rRNA". It matches the Rfam family "Bacterial small subunit ribosomal RNA", at positions 505 to 949 of the family's 1533-position model. The record is from RNAcentral.
GUGCCAGCAGCCGCGGUAAUACGUAGGUGGCAAGCGUUGUCCGGAUUUAUUGGGCGUAAAGCGAACGCAGGCGGGAAGAUAAGUCAGCUGUGAAAGCCCUCGGCUCAACCGGGGAAGAGCAGCUGAAACUAUAUUUCUUGAGUGCAGAAGAGGAGAGUGGAACUCCAUGUGUAGCGGUGGAAUGCGUAGAUAUAUGGAAGAACACCAGUGGCGAAGGCGGCUCUCUGGUCUGUAACUGACGCUGAGGUUCGAAAGCAUGGGUAGCGAACAGGAUUAGAUACCCUGGUAGUCCAUGCCGUAAACGAUGGAUACUAGUUGUUAGAGGGUUUCCGCCCUUUAGUGACGAAGCAAACGCAUUAAGUGUUCCGCCGUGGGGAGUACGACCGCAAGGUUAAAACUCAAAGGAAUUGGACGGGGGCCCGCACAAGCGGUGGAGCAUGUUGGUUUAA